UGAUGAAGCGUGAGAUGUCCUUGUAAUAUAUAUAUAUAUUAUGUAUGUGUAAUAUUUCGUUUAUAUAUAAAUGAAGGGAGUGGACCAAAGCAUGGGACAAUACUGGACACACGUUUAAAAGAACUCUUGUCUUUUUAUUUUUUCAGAAUUCAAUCAAGUAUUGAAAACGUAAUAUGGGAAACAAGCCAUGAUUUUGAAUCAGAUUGGUCUUUGGGCAGAUUGGAUGAGAUAAAGUAUAUUGGAAGGUGCAUCGUUUGAGCUUCACCUGUUUCUUCAUGGAGAAUAGUAGGAAACCACCAUCCAAUCCUGAUAGUAAUUCUGACAACAUUCGGUAG
Molecule: long non-coding RNA, 335 nt
Organism: Notechis scutatus (mainland tiger snake)
Lineage: Eukaryota; Metazoa; Chordata; Lepidosauria; Squamata; Elapidae
Source: RefSeq, a predicted model, not a curated record